CUGUCUUCUGACAAAACUGCUAACACCUUCGCUGUGCCACUGCAGCCAGUGCCUUUUCCAUCUGUACCGUGGGAAAAGGUAGCUAUUGAUGUGGUGGGCCCAUUCGAAACCGCUGAGUGAGACUGCCGUUAUGCGCUGACAUUGAUCGACUAUCACAGUAAAUGGCCUGAAGUCGCUUUCACUGCUUCCAUCACUACUCAAAGUGUGGUCACCUUCUUGUCAUCUGUGUUUAGCAGAUACGGAAAUCCACGAACGGUCGUGUCUGAUAACGGGGCUCAAUUCACAUCAGUAGAGUUUUCAAAAUUUCUGGAAAAGAGAGACAUUCAACACAUAUGUACUUCGUUGUACCACCCUGCUGCGAAUGGAGCUGUAGAACGUUUCCAUCGUGUGUUGAAAAGCUGUAUUCAGUCUGCUGUUCUGGAAGCGAAGCCGUGGAAAUCUACAGUCAGGGAAUUUCUCCAAGUGUAUCGUGCGACUCCCCAUUCUGCUACUGGACUUUCCCCGUUUGAGCUGCUUCAUGGCAGAAAGAUGCGAACGCGUCUCAAUAUUCUUCCUCCUCCCACCACAAAACUGGCAUGCUUCUCACCUGGCUCGUUCUGUUGCACCUGUUUCGGAGGCAAUUGACACAGGGGCUGUGGACUUGUCAUUUCAGCAUCUUUCUUCAUCUCCUCCUCCGGAGAUCCAAACUCCUGAAGCUCUUCAAAGGGUGUCUUCCCGGUUGAGACGACCUCCUCGUUGGCUGGAAGACUAUGUCACUUAGUCACCUUGCAUUGCGUGAUUAUCACGGAUGAGUAAUUCAUUACGUCAGUUUACGAUUGAUUUUAAAUGAAUGCUACGUCUAAAAAAAUCUUGUAAAGCUUAAUUUUGUUCUUUGAUCUGGUUACAAGUAAGUGUUAUAUAACAAGUGAAUGCUUUAGUAACUUGUGGUUGUGUUCCUUUUUUUUGUUUUUGUUCGUAAAUAUAGGGGUAAGUAGGUUGCUUUAAGUGAUGGGGGAAUAUGUUGUGUUCUUUUGUGCAUAUUGGCCAGUAGGUGGAAAUAGAGGUUCAUGAUAUACGUUUAGUUGAAUAGAGAAGAAGGAGAGAGUCCGAAGCAUCCCACCUGCUACUGCGUGUGCUGUACCACUCUGCUAUUUAAUUUGGUUAAAUAAAGGAUCUUGAUGUUCGAAUGCCUCCUCAUUGGUUCUUACAAAGGAUAUAACAAGAAGCAACAUUCAUAUCACUUCAGCCCACAAGAGCUAUUUGGUGCAUGUGCAACCCUGGAUUCAAAUGGACAACCUUAAAGUUUCAGAACCAGCAGCUUAGCAGAG
Molecule: long non-coding RNA, 1307 nt
Organism: Cyprinus carpio carpio
Lineage: Eukaryota; Metazoa; Chordata; Actinopteri; Cypriniformes; Cyprinidae
Source: Ensembl